This 254-nucleotide ribosomal RNA is filed under the name uncultured bacterium. RNAcentral describes it as "partial 16S ribosomal RNA". It matches the Rfam family "Bacterial small subunit ribosomal RNA", at positions 524 to 776 of the family's 1533-position model. The record is from RNAcentral.
UACGUAGGGGGCAAGCGUUGUCCGGAUUUAUUGGGCGUAAAAGGCUUGUAGGUGGCCACGCCAAGUCGGAUGUGAAAUCUCCCGGCUCAACUGGGAGGGGUCAUUCGAUACUGGCGGGCUCGAGGCCGGUAGGGGGAAGUGGAAUUCCCGGUGUAGUGGUGGAAUGCGUAGAUAUCGGGAGGAACACCAGUGGCGAAGGCGGCUUCCUGGACCGGUUCUGACACUGAGGCGCGACAGCGUGGGGAGCAAACAGG